RNAcentral lists this ribosomal RNA (492 nucleotides) under uncultured bacterium. Its description in RNAcentral is "partial 16S ribosomal RNA". It matches the Rfam family "Bacterial small subunit ribosomal RNA", at positions 29 to 507 of the family's 1533-position model. The record is from RNAcentral.
AGUGAACGCUGGCGGUAGGCCUAACACAUGCAAGUCGAACGGCAGCACAGUAAGAGCUUGCUCUUACGGGUGGCGAGUGGCGGACGGGUGAGGAAUACAUCGGAAUCUACUUUUUCGUGGGGGAUAACGUAGGGAAACUUACGCUAAUACCGCAUACGACCUACGGGUGAAAGCAGGGGAUCUUCGGACCUUGCGCGAUUGAAUGAGCCGAUGUCGGAUUAGCUAGUUGGCGGGGUAAAGGCCCACCAAGGCGACGAUCCGUAGCUGGACUGAGAGGAUGAUCAGCCACACUGGAACUGGACCACGGUCCAGGCUCCUACGGGAGGCAGCAGUGGGGAAUAUUGGACAAUGGGCGCAAGCCUGAUCCAGCCAUACCGCGUGGGUGAAGGAGACCUUCGGGUUGUGAAGCCCUUUUGUUGGGAAAGAAAAGCAGCAGGUUAAUACCCCGCUGUUCUGACGGUACCCAAAGAAUAAGCACCGGCUAACUUCGUG